CCUGGCUCAGAACGAACACUGGCGGCGUGGAUUAGGCAUGCAAGUCGAGCGGGAUCCUGUUGAUCAAUCCUUCGGGAGAGAAACUUCAGGUGAGAGCGGCGAACGGGUGAGUAAUAUAUGGGUAAUCUGCCUUGAAGCCCGGGAUAGCCAUUGGAAACGAUGGGUAAUACCGGAUGUGCUCGCUCCGCACCUGCGGAGUUAUGUAAAGGUGGGGAUCUUCGGACCUGCCACUUUAAGAUGGGCCCAUAUCCUAUCAGCUUGUUGGUGAGGUAACAGCUCACCAAGGCUUUGACGGGUAGCCGACCUGAGAGGGUGACCGGCCACACUGGGACUGAGACACUGCCCAGACUCCUACGGGAGGCUGCAGUCGAGAAUCAUUGUCAAUGUACGAAAGUAUGAACAUGCGACGCCGCGUGGAGGACGAAGGCCUUCGGGUUGUAAACUCCUGUCAUGAGGGAGGAACCGCAGACGGUUAAUACCCGUUCUGUUUGACAGUACCUCAAGAGGAAGUCACGGCUAACUCUGUGCCAGCAGCCGCGGUAAUACAGAGGUGGCAAGUGUUGUUCGGAUUUACUGGGCGUAAAGGGUCCGCAGGCGGUUCUGUGUGUCAGAUGUGAAAAUCCACGGCUCAACCGUGGAACUGCAUUUGAAACUACAGAACUAGAGUACAGCAGGGGAGAGGGAAUUCAUGGUGUAGCGGUGAAAUGCGUAGAUAUCAUGAAGAACACCGGUGGCGAAAGCGCCUCUCUGGACUGAUACUGACGCUCAUGGACGAAAGCCGGGGGAGCGAAAAGGAUUAGAUACCCUUGUAGUCCCGGCCAUAAACGGUGUGCACUUGAUGUGGGAGGAUUACCCCCUUCCGUGUCGGAGCUAACGCGUUAAGUGCACCGCCUGGGAAGUACGGCCGCAAGGUUCGAACUCAAAGGAAUUGACGGGGGCCCGCACAAGCGGUGGAGCAUGUGGCUUAA
Molecule: ribosomal RNA, 968 nt
Filed under: uncultured organism
Description: bacterial SSU rRNA
Rfam family: Bacterial small subunit ribosomal RNA
Source: RNAcentral